RNAcentral lists this ribosomal RNA (509 nucleotides) under uncultured bacterium. RNAcentral's name for it is "bacterial SSU rRNA". It matches the Rfam family "Bacterial small subunit ribosomal RNA", at positions 855 to 1362 of the family's 1533-position model. The record is from RNAcentral.
ACGCGAUAAGUAUUCCGCCUGGGAAGUACGGCCGCAAGGUUAAAACUCAAAGGAAUUGACGGGGGCCCGCACAAGCGUUGGAGCAUGUGUUUUAAUUCGAUGCAACGCGAAGAACCUUACCUGGGCUUGACAUGUCUGGAAUCCUGCAGAGAUGCGGGAGUGCCCUUCGGGGAAUCAGAACACAGGUGCUGCAUGGCUGUCGUCAGCUCGCGUCGUGAGAUGUUGGGUUAAGUCCCGCAACGAGCGCAACCCUUGUCCUUAGUUGCCAGCGGUUCGGCCGGGCACUCUAGGGAGACUGCCGGUGACAAACCGGAGGAAGGUGGGGAUGACGUCAAGUCCUCAUGGCCUUUAUGUCCAGGGCUACACACGUGCUACAAUGGCGCGUACAGAGGGAAGCCAAGCCGCGAGGUGGAGUAGACCCCAGAAAGCGCGUCGUAGUUCGGAUUGCAGUCUGCAACUCGACUGCAUGAAGUCGGAAUCGCUAGUAAUCGCGGAUCAGCAUGCCGCGG